AGUGAACGCUGGCGGUAGGCCUAACACAUGCCAGUCGAACGGCAGCACAGUAAGAGCUUGCUCUUACGGGUGGCGAGUGGCGGACGGGUGAGGAAUACAGCGGAAUCUACUUUUUCGUGGGGGAUAACGUAGGGAAACUUACGCUAAUACCGCAUACGACCUACGGGUGAAAGCAGGGGAUCUUCGGACCUUGCGCGAUUGAAUGAGCCGGUGUCGGAUUAGCUAGUUGGCGGGGUAAAGGCCCACCAAGGCGACGAUCCGUAGCUGGUCUGAGAGGAUGAUCAGCCAAACUGGAACUGAGACACGGUCCAGACUCCUACGGGAGGCAGCAGUGGGGAAUAUUGGACAAUGGGCGCAAGCCUGAUCCAGCCAUACCGCGUGGGUGAAGAAGGCCUUCGGGUUGUAAAGCCCUUUUGUUGGGAAAGAAAAGCAGCAGGUUAAUACCCCGCUGUUCUGACGGUACCCAAAGAAUAAGCACCGGCUAACUUCGUG
RNAcentral lists this ribosomal RNA (492 nucleotides) under uncultured bacterium. RNAcentral describes it as "partial 16S ribosomal RNA". It matches the Rfam family "Bacterial small subunit ribosomal RNA", at positions 29 to 507 of the family's 1533-position model. The record is from RNAcentral.